This 1388-nucleotide long non-coding RNA is filed under the name Homo sapiens (human). Its description in RNAcentral is "HSALNT0002734". The record is from RNAcentral. Lineage: Eukaryota; Metazoa; Chordata; Mammalia; Primates; Hominidae.
GGCCACCCCGCCAGCGAAUGCCGGAUCCUCUGCUUGGGAAGACAGUCCUCCUUUCCGAAGGACUCCAUUCAGCAAAAAGGAAUAUAAAUCUUUUAAAUACACUAUAGCAUCAGGCAGAGUCAAGAGGAGUCUCUACCCGCUUCUAAUCAGAUUGCCAGAAGUCUUCCUUUUCUGGAUGGAGACUAAGAGGUACUUACUUCUCGCCCUGGGAAGGGAAGAUCUUGGCUUUCUGCUUGGAUCACUUCCUUCAAGAAGACCUCCUCAAGUUUCUUUCAUUGGACAAAUAUCAAUUUAGCACCUACUAUGUGCCUGGUACUGUGCUAGGCUAUCUGGGUAUACCAUGGUGAACAAAAUGGAUGUUUUUCCUGAGCUUGAAAAUGAUGAUUCUUCCUAUGGAAAUGAGGUUGGGAUCUAGGGGCUUGGAUACCCCCCACAUCAGAAGCUCAAAUCCUUCAUAAAUGGCAAAAAAGGGGAAUCAAAGAUAGCUAGGUUUUGAGGAUUACCUAAAGCCCAGACAGAUGACUCACUGUUUAAAAUGUAAACUUUUAGAAUAGUUUUAGACUUACAGAAAAGUUUUGCAGAUAGUACAGAAUUGCCAUAUACCCCAACCCAGUUUCUCCUAUUGUUAACACCUGACAUUGCUGCGGUACAUUUUCCACAACACUGGUAUGUUAUUGUUAACUAAACUCUGUAGUUUAUUUGGAUUUUAUUAGUUUUUACCCACCAUCCUUUCUCUGUUCCACAGGGUCUCUCACAUUGUAUGCAGCCAUCUUAUUUCCCUAGGCUGCUCUUGGCUGUGGUAGUUUCUCAGACUUUCCUUGCUUUUGAUGGACUGUUGGUCAGGUAAUUUGUAGACUGUCCCUCAGGUGGGGUCUGUCUGCUGUUUUUCUCAUGGUUCAACUGUGGUUAUGGGUUUGGGGGUGAUGUGCUGUUUCCAUCACAUCAUAUCAAGUGUCCAUGCUAUAGACACGACUGAUCGCUGCUGAUGUUGACCUUGGCCAUCUGGCUGAGCUAGUGCUUGUCAGGUUUCUCUCCUGCAAGAUUACUCUUUCCCCCUGCUUUCCAUACUAUACUCCAUAGAAGGAAAUCAUUAUGCACAGCCCACACUUCAGGGACAGGGAUUUAUGUUUCACCGCCUUGAGGGAGGAGUAUCUCCAUAAAUUAUUUGGGAUUCUUCUGCACAGGCGAUUUGAGUGACCCAUUUUUCAGUAGUUUGAACUUCGCCCCUGUGUUGGGCAAGGCCACUAUGAGUUAGAUUUAAUAAUGAAUUCCAGGCAAAUGGGAGCAGUGGGGGGAAAUAAGAAAAUGCCCACAGGUGCUGCCUGAUGACCAGUAUAUAGUCUUACAAAAGAAGAGAUAAAAAAAUUAAUAAAAGUAACUUCCUGUGG